Sorex fumeus (smoky shrew) is the source of this 124-nucleotide small nucleolar RNA. RefSeq annotates it as small nucleolar RNA ACA64. Lineage: Eukaryota; Metazoa; Chordata; Mammalia; Eulipotyphla; Soricidae. The transcript has a single exon. The record is from RefSeq and is a predicted model, not a curated record.
ACCAGCUGAAAGUCACACGCAGUCUCUCCCGAGGCCACGGGUGAGACUCAGCGCCUAGAGCAUGGGGGAUUCAGCUCACCGCCCACUUCCAGUGUGGGGAGAUGAAACCCAGGCUCCAACAGUG